UGUAAAAUAAUAUUUGUGUAUUGUUCUAAUAUUACUGUAAAUAGUGACACACUUUUGCAUUAGAUUGCUAAUUUUAGAGAUUACAGUGUAUGUAUAAAAUAAUAAAAUAAAAAAUUUCUUGUUAUGAUUUUGUAGAAAGAGAUCUACUUGAGUGGUUCAGUGGUUGGCUGGUCUUGAACCUGGUCAGGAUGGAUAUGGUAAUGAAGGUGAUAGGGCAGAAAGUGGUGACCAGUUAAGUGAUCAGGAUGAAAGUGACGAGGACGAAAUCACCCAUGCUGUGCCAUUCAAGUGCAUUGGUGCUGUUCAUGAGAAACAUUACCAACAUCAUUUGUAACAGGCAUGCCUUGCUAUUCAUGGACAAGAUAAACCAGUGAAUGUAAGAAUACGGCCAAAGCCAUUGAAUCCAAUGGACCCAAGUGCAAUAGCAAUUGAUGUAGACUAUGGAACUGGAUGGACAUAUGUGAUGUUGGCUAUAUUAUUUGCACCCACUAAUUGCUGCACGAGAUAUCUUAGAGGUCUAUGUUCAGCAUAUAAAGUAUAGGGUUGACUUUUUUAAAAUAGGAUUUUAUCCAAAAUUUUUCAUAAAGCGAUGUGGUGAGUGGGAGACUCAAGUGGUAAGGAGGGGCAUGAGUGUAUGUCGACAGAUGUUUGUGAAAUAAUAGUAACUGACUAGGUUUAGCAAGUUAUAGAAAUGUUAUUUAAAUUGGCUAACUUUUUAGAUUUUUCCAGCAUUUUUACCUUUCACUUUAUUGCCAAACAAAAAUCAUUUAAUAUAAGUAGGUGUGUAUCUAUAACAAAACAAUAUCUGUCAUGUGCAACUCCCUCAAAAUAGCAAUAUUGCUUUUUUAUUGUGGCAUAAAUUUAUUACUAGGACACCAAUAUGGUUCUCAUUACCUGUAUCUAAACUUAAAAAAACAUGUGCUAUCAAUAAAUGCAUCUACCUAUUUCGUGACUGAAUAGAAUUUAUUUUGUCAAGCCAUGUAAUUAAUUUUGAAAUUGCUGUGACUUUAUGUAACCCUUCUGCAAGAAUUGAGCCUAAACCCUAAAGCACCAACCCAUCCCCAACAAUAAAAUUACAUCUUGCUGUCAAUUUCAAUUUGUCUUUGAAAUCUGAC
Non-coding RNA from Paramuricea clavata, 1115 nucleotides. NCBI's taxonomy places the organism in Eukaryota, Metazoa, Cnidaria, Anthozoa, Malacalcyonacea, Plexauridae. The record is from the annotation of a GenBank genome assembly.